RNAcentral lists this transfer RNA (62 nucleotides) under Tridacna maxima. RNAcentral describes it as "tRNA-His". Lineage: Eukaryota; Metazoa; Mollusca; Bivalvia; Cardiida; Cardiidae. The record is from RNAcentral.
AGAUGUCUAGUUUAAAUAGAACGUUGCUUUGUGGCGGCAAAGGCAGCAGAAGCUGACAUCUA